Long non-coding RNA from Mauremys mutica (yellowpond turtle), 773 nucleotides. RefSeq lists it as uncharacterized. The record is from RefSeq and is a predicted model, not a curated record. Lineage: Eukaryota; Metazoa; Chordata; Testudines; Geoemydidae. The transcript is spliced from 4 exons.
UGGUGAGUCCCCAGCUGCGUCCUGCUGCUCGGGCUGCUCCCAGCCGCUCUCCCCGUAUUCCUAAGAGCAGCAUUUAAAGUGACAAGAAUCAAGUCAAUUUCAUUCUACUGCUGUCCCAGACAGCCUGGAGCAGCAACAAGAGGAGGCAGAUCCAAAAACCAGACACUUGAGGAAGCCAGAGAAGAGGCAGAGAGAGCUACUUUGAGUUUCAGACACCUACUAGCAAGAGUUUCAUACAAAAGACGGAGCCAUCCAAGGGGAAUUCAAGAUCUCUGGUCGGAAGAAUCCCAACUCCCUCCUAUAAAGGCAUGUUUUAACUCCAAAUAUGAAUAAUGGAUUUGAAGAAAGGAUGUUGCUGCACAUAUUAAUCUGACAAAAAAGAAAACACUCCAGAGGGCCUGAGAACAGUCAAGAUUACUUUACAUGGUCAACAAUCACAUGACAGAAGGAUUAAAAACUUUGAAGUAAAUAUAUACAAGUAGAAUUACUUUGAAAAUGUAAGAAAAGACUUUUCAGAGUUAGAGAUCUGAUAUAGUUGAGAUUUUUUCUGCACACUGAUGUUGACUGUGCAUGCCCACUCAUAAUUUAAAAAAAAAAAUCUAACUUUUAAUUGUUUUAAAUGAGGCAUAGUUAGAAUAUUUUUCUUCUGGAUAGUUAUCCACACUAACUAACAUCUGUUAAGACUAUGUUACUAUGGUAUGCCAGAGGAUCAAAGCCAGAUGAUUUUAAGUUUGGUCAUAUUUAAGUAAAGCUACAUUUAACGCACAUAAAUA